Molecule: ribosomal RNA, 253 nt
Filed under: uncultured bacterium
Lineage: Bacteria
Description: partial 16S ribosomal RNA
Rfam family: Bacterial small subunit ribosomal RNA
Source: RNAcentral
UACAGAGGGUGCAAGCGUUAAUCGGAAUUACUGGGCGUAAAGCGUGCGUAGACGGUUACAUAAGUCGGGUGUGAAAGCCCCGGGCUCAACCUGGGAAUUGCAUUCGAGACUGCGUAGCUAGGGUGCGGAAGAGGGAAGCGGAAUUUCCGGUGUAGCGGUGAAAUGCGUAGAUAUCGAGAGGAACACCUGCGGCGAAGGCGGGUUGCUGGGCUGACACUGACGCUGAUGCGCGAAAGCCAGGGGAGCGAACGGG